This 459-nucleotide ribosomal RNA is filed under the name uncultured bacterium. RNAcentral's name for it is "partial 16S ribosomal RNA". It matches the Rfam family "Bacterial small subunit ribosomal RNA", at positions 338 to 795 of the family's 1533-position model. The record is from RNAcentral.
CCUACGGGAGGCAGCAGUGAGGAAUCUUGGUCAAUGGGCGUAAGCCUGAACGAGCAAAGCCGCGUGAGGGAUGAAGGUUCUAUGGAUCGUAAACCCCUUUUAUAAGGGAGUAAAGUGUGGGACGUGUCCUAUUUUGUUUCUACCUUAUGAAUACGGAUCGGCUAACUCCGUGCCAGCAGCCGCGGUAAUGUGGAGGAUGCGAGCGUUAUCCGGUUUGAUUGGGUUUAAGGGGAGCGCAGGCGGAAUGUCAAGUCAGCGGUAAAAUUUCGGGGCUCAACGCCGUCGUGCCGUGGAAACUGGCGUUCUUGAGUGAACGAGAAGUAUGCGGAACGCGUGGUGUAGCGGUGAAAUGCAUAGAUAUCUCGCAGAACUCCGAUUGCGAAGGCAGCAUACCGGCGCUCAACUGACGCUCAUGCACGAAAGCGUGGGUAUCGAACAGGAUUAGAUACCCCUGUAGUC